Molecule: unclassified non-coding RNA, 433 nt
Filed under: uncultured Russula
Lineage: Eukaryota; Fungi; Basidiomycota; Agaricomycetes; Russulales; Russulaceae
Description: sequence contains ITS2
Rfam family: 5.8S ribosomal RNA (bases 1-154)
Source: RNAcentral
AACUUUUUGCAAUGUAUCACUUGGCUCUCGCAUCGAUGAAGAACGCAGCGAAAUGCGAUACGUAAUGUGAAUUGCAGAAUUCAGUGAAUCAUCGAAUCUUUGAACGCACCUUGCGCCCCUUGGAAUUCCGAGGGGCACACCCGUUUGAGUGUCGUGAACAUCCUUCAACCUUUCUUGGUUUCUUAACCGGGGAAGGCUUGGACUUUGGGGGUCUUUCAUUGCUGGCCUCUUUGAAGCCAGCUCCUCCUAAAUGGAUUAGUGUGGUCUGCUUUGCCGAUCCUUGACGUGAUAAGAUGUUUCUACGUCUUGGGUUUCGCACUGUCGCUUUAGACCCCGCUUCUAACCGUCUUGCAUUCAAGACAGAGUUUUAAACCUUGACCUCAAAUCGGGUGAGACUACCCGCUGAACUUAAGCAUAUCAAUAAGCGGAGGCU